The sequence is a ribosomal RNA, 2269 nucleotides long. It matches the Rfam family "Bacterial large subunit ribosomal RNA", at positions 659 to 2925 of the family's 2925-position model.
GGCGGAGCCGCAGCGAAAGCGAGUCUGAACAGGGCGCAUGAGUAUGAGGUCGCAGACCCGAAACCAGGUGAUCUACCCAUGUCCAGGGUGAAGGUAAGGUAACACUUACUGGAGGCCCGAACCCACGCACGUUGAAAAGUGCGGGGAUGAGGUGUGGGUAGCGGUGAAAUUCCAAUCGAACCUGGAGAUAGCUGGUUCUCUCCGAAAUAGCUUUAGGGCUAGCCUCAAGGGAAGAGUCUUGGAGGUAGAGCACUGUUUGGACUAGGGGCCCCUCUCGGGUUACCGAAUUCAGACAAACUCCGAAUGCCAAAGACUUAUCCUUGGGAGUCAGACUGCGAGUGAUAAGAUCCGUAGUCAAGAGGGAAACAGCCCAGACCGCCAGCUAAGGUCCCCAAGUAUACGUUAAGUGGAAAAGGAUGUGGAGCUGCUUAGACAACCAGGAUGUUGGCUUAGAAGCAGCCAUCAUUGAAAGAGUGCGUAAUAGCUCACUGGUCGAGUGGCUCUGCGCCGAAAAUGUAACGGGGCUAAACGUAUCACCGAAGCUGCGGAUGGACACCUUAUGGUGUCCGUGGUAGGAGAGCGUUCUAAGGGCGGUGAAGCCAGACCGGGAGGACUGGUGGAGCGCUUAGAAGUGAGAAUGCCGGUAUGAGUAGCGAAAGAAGGGUGAGAAUCCCUUCCACCGAAUGCCUAAGGUUUCCUGAGGAAGGCUCGUCCUCUCAGGGUUAGUCGGGACCUAAGCCGAGGCCGAAAGGCGUAGGCGAUGGAUAACAGGUUGAUAUUCCUGUACCACCUCACUCCGUUUGAGCGAUGGGGGGACGCAGGAGGAUAGGGUAAGCGCACAGCUGGUUGUGCGUCCAAGCAGUUAGGCCGGUGACGAGGCAAAUCCCGUCACCAUCAAGGCGGAGCUGUGACGGCGAGGGAAAGAUAGUACCGAAGUUCCUGAUUCCACACUGCCAAGAAAAGCCUCUAGCGAGGAGACAGGUGCCCGUACCGCAAACCGACACAGGUAGGCGAGGAGAGAAUCCUAAGGUGAGCGAGUGAACUCUCGUUAAGGAACUCGGCAAAAUGACCCCGUAACUUCGGGAGAAGGGGUGCUCUUUGGGGUGCAUAGCCCUGAGGAGCCGCAGUGAAUAGGCCCAGGCGACUGUUUAGCAAAAACACAGGUCUCUGCGAAGCCGCAAGGCGAAGUAUAGGGGCUGACGCCUGCCCGGUGCUGGAAGGUUAAGAGGAGGGGUUAGCUUACGCGAAGCUCUGAAUUGAAGCCCCAGUAAACGGCGGCCGUAACUAUAACGGUCCUAAGGUAGCGAAAUUCCUUGUCGGGUAAGUUCCGACCCGCACGAAAGGCGUAACGAUCUGGGCACUGUCUCAACGAGAGACUCGGUGAAAUUAUAGUACCUGUGAAGAUGCAGGUUACCCGCGACAGGACGGAAAGACCCCGUGGAGCUUUACUGCAGCCUGAUAUUGAAUUUCGGCACAGCUUGUACAGGAUAGGUAGGAGCCUUUGAAACCGGAGCGCCAGCUUCGGUGGAGGCGUCGGUGGGAUACUACCCUGGCUGUGUUGAACUUCUAACCCGCACCCGUGAUCCGGGUGGGAGACAGUGUCAGGCAGGCAGUUUGACUGGGGCGGUCGCCUCCUAAAGAGUAACGGAGGCGCCCAAAGGUUCCCUCAGAAUGGUUGGAAAUCAUUCGCAGAGUGUAAAGGCACAAGGGAGCUUGACUGCGAGACCUACAAGUCGAGCAGGGACGAAAGUCGGGCUUAGUGAUCCGGUGGUUCCGCAUGGAAGGGCCAUCGCUCAACGGAUAAAAGCUACCCCGGGGAUAACAGGCUUAUCUCCCCCAAGAGUCCACAUCGACGGGGAGGUUUGGCACCUCGAUGUCGGCUCAUCGCAUCCUGGGGCUGUAGUCGGUCCCAAGGGUUGGGCUGUUCGCCCAUUAAAGCGGUACGCGAGCUGGGUUCAGAACGUCGUGAGACAGUUCGGUCCCUAUCCGUCGCGGGCGCAGGAAAUUUGAGAGGAGCUGUCCUUAGUACGAGAGGACCGGGAUGGACGCACCGCUGGUGUACCAGUUGUCUUGCCAAAGGCAUCGCUGGGUAGCUAUGUGCGGACGGGAUAAGUGCUGAAAGCAUCUAAGCAUGAAGCCCCCCUCAAGAUGAGAUUUCCCAUAGCGUCAAGCUAGUAAGAUCCCUGAAAGAUGAUCAGGUAGAUAGGUUCGAGGUGGAAGCGUGGCGACACGUGGAGCUGACGAAUACUAAUCGAUCGAGGACUUAUCC